Molecule: small nuclear RNA, 110 nt
Organism: Sceloporus undulatus (fence lizard)
Lineage: Eukaryota; Metazoa; Chordata; Lepidosauria; Squamata; Phrynosomatidae
Source: RefSeq, a predicted model, not a curated record
GUUCUUUGCUGCUUUGAAGGACAUAUACUAAAAUAGGAAUGAGGUGAAGAAGAUUAGUAUAGCUCCAAUACAAAGAUGACAUGCAGAUUUGAAAAACAUUCCAUAUGAAA